UACGUAGGGUGCAAACGUUGCUCGGAAUCACUGGGCGUAAAGGGCGUGUAGGCGGGUAGGAAAGUCAGAUGUGAAAUCCCUGGGCUCAACCCAGGAACUGCAUUUGAAACUCCCUUUCUUGAGUGUCGGAGAGGAAAGUGGAAUUCCUGGUGUAGAGGUGAAAUUCGUAGAUAUCAGGAGGAACACCGGUGGCGAAGGCGGCUUUCUGGACGACAACUGACGCUGAGACGCGAAAGCGUGGGGAGCAAACAGG
Molecule: ribosomal RNA, 253 nt
Filed under: uncultured bacterium
Lineage: Bacteria
Description: partial 16S ribosomal RNA
Rfam family: Bacterial small subunit ribosomal RNA
Source: RNAcentral